CUUGUGUAAAUACACCUAUUUUUGUUUUUAUUAUGUAGGAUUUUUAAACUUGUAGAAGUUGUAUACGACAGAUUCCCGAUUUUAUUUAUCUUUUAUUUUAAUGGAUAAUUCGAUAUAAAAAAAAAGAACGUCUUGUAUUGAUUUAUAUAUAGAAAUUGUUUUACAAAAUAUUGCUAGGCUUGGACAAUCCUGCGAACUCAAGGCAAUGAACAAACUAUCAAUAAUCUGAUAGAUGAUAAAUAAAAAAAAAGAAACAAGGGGAAGUAAACAAGUUUUAGUUUGUCCAAAUUGAGAUAAAUUUAUCAGUGGGGUUUAGGUGCGAUCUUCAUUGGAAUAGCCAUAUUUUUUUACUGUUAAUUAAUUAAGAAUAUAUCUGGUUAGCAAAAAAUGUUGUGAGUUCUGGUUCUAAUGCCACGAACAAUUGGGUAAACACAAAUGGUGUCUUCGCAAUUGGUUGGAAUAGAUGUUACUGAUAACAGAGAGAUGUCUUCCUCCGCACCAUUGGUCAUGGACAAAACUUAAUCGAUUGCCGAUGUUAACAGCCUCUUAAGAAGGACGAACCAACCAGCUAGAUGCGUCAAAUACUACGUAAUGGAGAUGAUGAUGACGACAUUUGUACAAAGAUGUGCGCCCUUUCCAGCAGUUGAUGAACUUUAUACUUUGAUGGUGACGGAAAUAAAACAUGAACUAUGUAUAUCGAACUAUUUAACUGGUGAUUCAAAUGAACUAUGUGUAAAUAUAUCCAGCUAUUGGACUUGGUGAAUGUAAUGAACUUAUUAUAAACUUUAGAUGUGUGGUGAUGGUUACCGGAAACUUUGCAAUGAACUAUCACAAUAACCUACAGAAGAAAACUACCGUAUUUUAUUGAACUUUCGUUUUAUUUAGGAGGAAAGGAAAAUGUAACACAAUUGUGUUUCAUAUCAUUAAUUAUCAAGGAG
This 938-nucleotide long non-coding RNA is filed under the name Mytilus galloprovincialis (Mediterranean mussel). The record is from RNAcentral. Lineage: Eukaryota; Metazoa; Mollusca; Bivalvia; Mytilida; Mytilidae.